RNAcentral lists this ribosomal RNA (394 nucleotides) under uncultured bacterium. Its description in RNAcentral is "partial 16S ribosomal RNA". It matches the Rfam family "Bacterial small subunit ribosomal RNA", at positions 523 to 918 of the family's 1533-position model. The record is from RNAcentral.
AUACGUAGGGGGCGAGCGUUAUCCGGAAUUAUUGGGCGUAAAGAGUACGUAGGUGGUUUCCUAAGCGAGGGGUUUAAGGCACUGGCUUAACCAAUGUUCGCCCCCCGAACUGGGGAACUUGAGUGCUGGAGAGGAAAGCGGAAUUCCUAGUGUAGCGGUGAAAUGCGUAGAUAUUAGGAGGAACACCAGUGGCGAAGGCGGCUUUCUGGACAGUAACUGACACUGAGGUACGAAAGUGUGGGGAGCAAACAGGAUUAGAUACCCUGGUAGUCCACACCGUAAACGAUGAGCACUAGGUGUCGGGCUCGCAAGAGUUCGGUGCCGCAGUUAACGCAUUAAGCGCCCCGCCUGGGGAGUACGUACGCAAGUAUGAAACUCAAAGGAAUUGACGGGG